UAGGAAAAUAUUACAGAUGGC
RNAcentral lists this non-coding RNA (21 nucleotides) under Mus musculus (house mouse). Lineage: Eukaryota; Metazoa; Chordata; Mammalia; Rodentia; Muridae. The record is from RNAcentral.